AACGAACGCUGGCGGCAGGCUUAAUACAUGCAAGUCGAACGUGAAAGUCGUUCGGGAUGAGUAAAGAGGCGCACGGGUGAGUAACACGUGGGAACGUACCCUUGGGCGCGGGAUAACUACGGGAAACUGUAGCUAAUACCGCAUAAUGUCUUCGGGCCAAAGAUUUAUCGCCUAAGGAUCGGCCCGCGUUGGAUUAGCUUGUUGGUGGGGUAAUGGCCUACCAAGGCGACGAUCCAUAGCUGGUCUGAGAGGAUGAUCAGCCACACUGGAACUGAGACACGGUCCAGACUCCUACGGGAGGCAGCAGUAGGAAAUAUUGGGCAAUGGACGAAAGUCUGACCCAGCCAUGCCGCGUGAAUGAUGAAGGCCUUAGGGUUGUAAAGUUCUUUCGCCGAUGAAGAUAAUGACGGUAGUCGGAUAAGAAGCCCCGGCUAACUUCGUGCCAGCCGCCGCCGUAA
RNAcentral lists this ribosomal RNA (458 nucleotides) under uncultured bacterium. Its description in RNAcentral is "partial 16S ribosomal RNA". It matches the Rfam family "Bacterial small subunit ribosomal RNA", at positions 29 to 523 of the family's 1533-position model. The record is from RNAcentral.